RNAcentral lists this transfer RNA (97 nucleotides) under Candidatus Tectimicrobiota bacterium. RNAcentral describes it as "Candidatus Tectomicrobia bacterium tRNA-Sec". It matches the Rfam family "Selenocysteine transfer RNA". Lineage: Bacteria; Pseudomonadati; Candidatus Tectimicrobiota. The record is from RNAcentral.
GGAAGCGUAGCGGUGCCGGUGUGCCGCCUGGACUUCAAAUCCAGUGACCGACGCUAGAAACGUCGGUGGUGGGUUCGACUCCCACACGCUUCCGCCA